RNAcentral lists this ribosomal RNA (301 nucleotides) under uncultured bacterium. Its description in RNAcentral is "partial 16S ribosomal RNA". It matches the Rfam family "Bacterial small subunit ribosomal RNA", at positions 509 to 807 of the family's 1533-position model. The record is from RNAcentral.
CAGUCGCCGCGGUAAUACGAAGGGGGCUAGCGUUGUUCGGAUUAACUGGGCGUAAAGGGCGCGUAGGCGGGUUUUUAAGUCAGAGGUGAAAUCCCAAGGCUCAACCUUGGAACUGCCUUUGAUACUGGAAGUCUUGAGUCCGGGAGAGGUGAGUGGAACUGCGAGUGUAGAGGUGAAAUUCGUGGAUAUUCGCAAGAACACCAGUGGCGAAGGCGGCUCACUGGCCCGGUACUGACGCUGAGGCGCGAAAGCGUGGGGAGCAAACAGGAUUAGAUACCCGCGUAGUCCCUGUCUCUUAUAC